GGCGGGGUAGCUCAGCUGGUUAGAGCACAGGAUUCAUAACCCUGAGGUCGGCGGUUCGAGCCCGCCUCCCGCUA
This 74-nucleotide transfer RNA is filed under the name Bacteroidota bacterium. RNAcentral describes it as "tRNA-Met". It matches the Rfam family "tRNA". Rfam says of the family: Transfer RNA (tRNA) molecules are approximately 80 nucleotides in length. The record is from RNAcentral. Lineage: Bacteria; Pseudomonadati; Bacteroidota. RNAcentral also lists the same sequence under 11 other names.